CCCUUAGACGUUCUGGGCCGCACGCGCGCUACACUGACCAAUGCAACGAGCUUAUAACCUUGGCCGAAAGGUCUGGGUAAUCUCCAAAUUUCGUCGUGAUGGGGAUAGAUUAUUGCAAUUAUUAAUCUUCAACGAGGAAUGCCUAGUAAGCGCAAGUCAUCAGCUUGCGUUGAUUACGUCCCUGCCCUUUGUACACACCGCCCGUCGCUCCUACCGAUUGAAUGGUCCGGUGAAGCGUUCGGACCGUGGCCUUUGGACGGUUCGCCGUCUGUUGGCUGCGGGAAGUUCGUUAAACCUUAUCAUUUAGAGGAAGGAGAANUCGUAACA
Molecule: ribosomal RNA, 327 nt
Filed under: uncultured eukaryote
Lineage: Eukaryota
Description: partial 18S ribosomal RNA
Rfam family: Eukaryotic small subunit ribosomal RNA
Source: RNAcentral